This 465-nucleotide ribosomal RNA is filed under the name Vreelandella stevensii. RNAcentral describes it as "partial 16S ribosomal RNA". It matches the Rfam family "Bacterial small subunit ribosomal RNA", at positions 338 to 795 of the family's 1533-position model. The record is from RNAcentral. Lineage: Bacteria; Pseudomonadati; Pseudomonadota; Gammaproteobacteria; Oceanospirillales; Halomonadaceae.
CCUACGGGCGGCAGCAGUGGGGAAUAUUGGACAAUGGGGGGAACCCUGAUCCAGCCAUGCCGCGUGUGUGAAGAAGGCCCUCGGGUUGUAAAGCACUUUCAGUGAGGAAGAACGCCUGGUGGUUAAUACCCAUCAGGAAAGACAUCACUCACAGAAGAAGCACCGGCUAACUCCGUGCCAGCAGCCGCGGUAAUACGGAGGGUGCGAGCGUUAAUCGGAAUUACUGGGCGUAAAGCGCGCGUAGGUGGCUUGAUAAGCCGGUUGUGAAAGCCCCGGGCUCAACCUGGGAACGGCAUCCGGAACUGUCAAGCUAGAGUGCAGGAGAGGAAGGUAGAAUUGCCGGUGUAGCGGUGAAAUGCGUAGAGAUCGGGAGGAAUACCAGUGGCGGAGGCGGCCCUCUGGACUGACACUGACACUGAGGUGCGAAAGCGUGGGUAGCAAACAGGAUUAGAUACCCUUGUAGUC